UUGACCUCGGAUCAGGUAGGAAUACCCGCUGAACUUAAGCAUAUCAAUAAGCGGAGGAAAAGAAACCAACAGGGAUUGCCCCAGUAACGGCGAGUGAAGCGGCAACAGCUCAAAUUUGAAAUCUGGCCCCAGGCCCGAGUUGUAAUUUGCAGAGGAUGCUUUUGGCGCGGUGCCUUCCGAGUUCCCUGGAACGGGACGCCAUAGAGGGUGAGAGCCCCGUACGGUUGGACACCAAGCCUUUGUAAAGCUCCUUCGACGAGUCGAGUAGUUUGGGAAUGCUGCUCUAAAUGGGAGGUACAUUUCUUCUAAAGCUAAAUAUUGGCCAGAGACCGAUAGCGCACAAGUAGAGUGAUCGAAAGAUGAAAAGCACUUUGAAAAGAGGGUUAAACAGCACGUGAAAUUGUUAAAAGGGAAGCGCUUGUGACCAGACUUGCGUCCGGUGAAUCACCCAGCUCUCGCGGCUGGGGCACUUCGCCGGCACAGGCCAGCAUCAGCUUGCCGUCGGGGACAAAAGCUUCAGGAACGUGGCUCCUCUCGGGGAGUGUUAUAGCCUGUUGCAUAAUACCCUUCGGCGGGCUGAGGUACGCGCUCCGCAAGGA
RNAcentral lists this ribosomal RNA (599 nucleotides) under Colletotrichum nymphaeae. RNAcentral's name for it is "partial 28S ribosomal RNA". It matches the Rfam family "Eukaryotic large subunit ribosomal RNA", at positions 1 to 610 of the family's 3401-position model. Lineage: Eukaryota; Fungi; Ascomycota; Sordariomycetes; Glomerellales; Glomerellaceae. The record is from RNAcentral.